GGAUCGAGCUGUGCGAUCAGAGGUUUUGGGAUGGUCAGCUGGAGGACACAUGAUAGUACAGUGAGGAGAUUGGGGAAGAUCCGAUACAUACUCAAUUUCAGACAGAAUCUUAUCUCACUGAGUAGACUGGAUUCGAGAGACUACAGGACGGUGCUGGUAGAGGAAUCCUGAAGGUGUUGCAUGGUGAUAGGAUCAUUCUAGAGGGGAAGAAGAGGAUGAGAGGACAUUAUUACCUGACGGAGAGUCCAGUGCGAGAUGGAGCUUCAAGAGCCAGAGGAAGCUCAGAGCAAGGUGGAGCACCAGGUGGUGGUGGAUCGGAUAUGGGAUGCGAGACUCGGAAGGAUGAAAGGCGAUAUCACAAGGUUAGAUUUUUAUUGCCACAGAAUGAUAUCCCGAGUGGGUCUCAGAUUAGGAGAAGCACAGCAUACGAUAGAGAUGGAAUCAAACGGCCUGAUUCGACUCUCAUGUCUGUCCAUCCAUGAUCAGCAGGCGAUUAUCCUAGGGCAUGAGGGUAAGGAGAUUCAGAAGUUCUCAGAGUUAGAAGGAGAUCAAAUAUCGAGUCGAGAUAGAGAUUGUUAGGAUCUGAUAUCUCGAGAUUCGUUCCAU
RNAcentral lists this long non-coding RNA (606 nucleotides) under Elaeis guineensis (African oil palm). RNAcentral's name for it is "long non-coding RNA (EGUI_LNC003487)". Lineage: Eukaryota; Viridiplantae; Streptophyta; Magnoliopsida; Arecales; Arecaceae. The record is from RNAcentral.